RNAcentral lists this ribosomal RNA (468 nucleotides) under uncultured bacterium. Its description in RNAcentral is "partial 16S ribosomal RNA". It matches the Rfam family "Bacterial small subunit ribosomal RNA", at positions 28 to 507 of the family's 1533-position model. The record is from RNAcentral.
GACGAACGCUGGCGGCGUGCUUAACACAUGCAAGUCGAACGGAAAGGCCCUGCUUUUGUGGGGUGCUCGAGUGGCGAACGGGUGAGUAACACGUGAGUAACCUGCCCUUGACUUUGGGAUAACUUCAGGAAACUGGGGCUAAUACCGGAUAGAAGCUCCUGCUGCAUGGUGGGGGUUGGAAAGUUUCGGCGGUUGGGGAUGGACUCGCGGCUUAUCAGCUUGUUGGUGGGGUAGUGGCUUACCAAGGCUUUGACGGGUAGCCGGCCUGAGAGGGUGACCGGCCACAUUGGGACUGAGAUACGGCCCAGACUCCUACGGGAGGCAGCAGUGGGGAAUAUUGCACAAUGGGCGGAAGCCUGAUGCAGCAACGCCGCGUGCGGGAUGACGGCCUUCGGGUUGUAAACCGAUUUCGCCUGUGACGAAGCGUGAGUGACGGUAAUGGGUAAAGAAGCACCGGCUAACUACGUG